RNAcentral lists this ribosomal RNA (443 nucleotides) under uncultured Caldilineaceae bacterium. Its description in RNAcentral is "bacterial SSU rRNA". It matches the Rfam family "Bacterial small subunit ribosomal RNA", at positions 924 to 1382 of the family's 1533-position model. Lineage: Bacteria; Bacillati; Chloroflexota; Caldilineae; Caldilineales; Caldilineaceae. The record is from RNAcentral.
CACAAGCAGCGGAGCGUGUGGUUUAAUCGAUGCUACACGAAGACCUUACCUGGAUUUGACAUGCACGUAGUAGUGAACCGAAAGGGGAACGAGCCUUCGGGCAGCGUGCACAGGUGCUGCAUGGCUGUCGUCAGCUCGUGCCGUGAGGUGUUGGGUUAAGUCCCGCAACGAGCGCAACCCUCGUCGCUAGUUACAUGUGUCUAGCGAGACUGCCAGGUUAACCCUGGAGGAAGGUGGGGAUGACGUCAAGUCAGCAUGGCCUUUAUGUCCAGGGCUACACACACGCUACAAUGGUCGGUACAAUGGGAUGCCAAGCCGCGAGGUGGCGCCAAUCCAUAAAGUUGGUCUCAGUUCAGAUUGUAGGCUGCAACCCGCCUGCAUGAAGAUGGAGUUGCUAGUAACCGCAGGUCAGCUAUACUGCGGUGAAUACGUUCCCGGGGCUU